CCUUCAAAAAUACAUUCUAUCGAGUGAUCGAAACUCCGAGGCGCAAUGAAAGAAGGCGACUUCGGUCGCUGAGGUGAGAGCCUAUCAUUCUGUAAUAGUAGGCGCAUUAUUGACCGACCUAUUCUACUCUUAGAAAGGUUUGAGUAAGAGCGCAUCUCUUGGGACCCGAAAGAUGGUGAAUUAUGCCUGAAUAGGGUGAAGCCAUAGGAAACUCUGGUGGAGGCUCGUAGCGAUUCUGACGUGCAAAUCGAUCAUCAAAUUUGGGUAUAGGGGCGAAAGACUAAUCGAACUGUCUACUAGCAGG
This 304-nucleotide non-coding RNA is filed under the name Nematostella vectensis (starlet sea anemone). Its description in RNAcentral is "Eukaryotic large subunit ribosomal RNA". It matches the Rfam family "Eukaryotic large subunit ribosomal RNA", at positions 675 to 954 of the family's 3401-position model. Lineage: Eukaryota; Metazoa; Cnidaria; Anthozoa; Actiniaria; Edwardsiidae. The record is from Rfam by way of RNAcentral.